UACGUAGGGUGCGAGCGUUAAUCGGAAUUACUGGGCGUAAAGCGUGCGCAGGCGGUCUGUUAAGACCGAUGUGAAAUCCCCGGGCUUAACCUGGGAACUGCAUUGGUGACUGGCAGGCUUUGAGUGUGGCAGAGGGAGGUAGAAUUCCACGUGUAGCAGUGAAAUGCGUAGAUAUCUGGAGGAACACCGGUGGCGAAGGCGGCAUCCUGGACCAAUACUGACACUGAGGAGCGAAAGCCAGGGGAGCAAACGGG
RNAcentral lists this ribosomal RNA (254 nucleotides) under uncultured bacterium. RNAcentral's name for it is "partial 16S ribosomal RNA". It matches the Rfam family "Bacterial small subunit ribosomal RNA", at positions 524 to 776 of the family's 1533-position model. The record is from RNAcentral.